This 698-nucleotide long non-coding RNA is filed under the name Solanum tuberosum (potato). RNAcentral describes it as "long non-coding RNA (STUB_LNC004053)". Lineage: Eukaryota; Viridiplantae; Streptophyta; Magnoliopsida; Solanales; Solanaceae. The record is from RNAcentral.
UGAGACCUUUUCACAAAAGGAACUAGUAAACUAAAAUGCCUAUUAAGGGGCUGUUUGGAUAUUUAAAAAUUCCUUACUUUUUUUUUGAACUUGGUAACUUAAAAAUUCCUCACUUUUUGGAAAAUAAUUUUGAAACAUUGUUUAACUUUGUUACACCAUAAUAAUAUUUUGGUUAGUUUUUGAUGAUAAGUUUUUCAAGUCUGAAAAUUUGGGACCAGUUUUUCCGUGAGCUUCUCUUUCCCACUCACAAAACUUAAUUUUUUUCAAGUGAAAUACAUAUUCAAACAUAACUUCAACUUCAAAAACUCUUCUUUGCAAGUUUCAACCAAAUUAUGCUCAACACUUACUAACACUUCCAGAAAAUCAUGUCUUUUGUUUCUUCAUUCUCUUCUGUCCUAAUUAUAAUUAAACAAUAUUUCCAGUAGCAUCUAAAUAAUUAAGAGACUGUCUAACAGAGCUCAUGAUAAUAUUGAAACGAAGGUUAAGCUGCCAAUACGAGGAGCAAUCCACACAAAAAAAUGCAUCACUUCAUUAAAAGAGAAUGUCUAACAGAGCUCAUGAUACUAUUGAAAAUUUGAAAUGAAGGUUAAGCUGCCAAUACGAGGAACAAUCCACACAAAAAAAUGCAUCACUUGGUUAAAUAGGAACAAUGAUCAUCAUGUACCACACUUCACAUGGUCAAAUUUAACAUACUUACA